CAGAUGGAAUUUUGGUUAACACGGUUGAGGAACUUGACAAGAUUGGACUGAUGUAUUUCAAGAGAAAAUUUGGCCGGCCGGUUUGGCCAAUAGGGCCUGUUCUUUUGUCCACGGAAAGCAGAGCUGGGGCCAGAAAAGAGUACGGAAUCUCCACAGAGUUGUGUAAAAAAUGGCUUGAUACAAAGCCGUACACUUCAGUUCUGUAUGUAUCAUUCGGUUCACAAAACACAAUAGCUGGCACAAUCCCACUUCAAGAGUCUCAAUUUUGUCGUCAUGGCUUUAUUUCUGCUGGCAAUAAGCACUGAAGUGAAGGCAGGCCUAUUCCAUCAAUUUCUCCCAGUUAUGCACCAUCAGCUGUAAGUGUUCCCUUGUUAUUCUUUAUUGACAAAUUGGUGUUGGUUUCUUUAUUUCUUUGAUCUUAUGAAAAUGCUUAUGCUUAUCUUGUUUAUUUAUUAUUUGUCAGGUAUGGUUUUUAAACAAUGACUAUUGCUGGCUGGUUGAGUGUCGGAUAGGGAAGGAUAAGAGUGUUCCCAUUGACUUCUUCUCCAGAUGGUCAUUUUGGCCCAAAUUGAAUAAUUAAUUUGUUAUUUCUCUUAUUGUCAUACGAAUCUUGCAAUAAUUUGAGAAAAUAAUUUUCUUACGAUUUUAUGAAAUUUUAAAGGGACUGCUGUACCGUACAUCCGCCUUGGCCGUACAGCAGAGAUAUGUUCUUUGCAUGGAGUGCAGAGAUAGCACAAGAAUAUGGUAUUUUUAAUGCUCUAUUUGUAGGAGGUGGUAGUUUUGGCUUUGCUUGUUUCUACUCUUUGUGGCUAAACCUACCCCAUCGGGAUUCCGAUGAAUUUCUAUUGCCGGAUUUUCCUGAAGCUUCAAGAAUUCAUGUAACUCAGAUGACAAAGUUUUUAAGACUUGCUGAUGGUAGUGAUUCACUUUCAGUAUUUUUUCAGAAAGUGCUUCCUCAGUGGAUGAAUGCCGAUGGAAUCUUGUUUAACACAGUAGAGGAGCUUGACAAGAUUGGUCUAAUGUAUUUCAGUAGAAAGCUCGGCCGACCGGUCUGGCCAGUUGGGUCCCUGCUUUUGUCAACCGGGAGCAGAGCUGGGGCAGGAAAAGAGUACGGAAUCUCCACAGAGUUGUGUAAAAAUUGGCUUGAUACCAAGCCAUGCAAUUCAGUGAUUUAUGUGUCAUUUGGUUCACAAAACACAAUAGCUGCAUCACAAAUGAUGCAAUUGGCAAUGGCUUUAGAGGCUUGUGGCAAGAACUUCAUUUGGGUAGUCAAGCCACCACUUGGUUUUGACAUGAACUCUGAAUUUAGAGCCAAUGAGUGGCUGCCUGAAGGAUUUGAAGAAAGAAUCAAAGAUUCAGGACAAGGGCUAGUGGUCCAAAAAUGGGCACCUCAAGUGGAGAUUUUGUCUCACAAGUCAAUAUCUGCAUUUUUGAGUCAUUGCGGAUGGAACUCAGUGCUUGAAGCUUUGAGUCAUAGGGUGCCGAUAAUUGGGUGACCGUUGGCAGCAGAGCAGUUUUAUAAUUCUAAGCUGUUAGAAGAAGAGAUGGGGGUUUGUGUGGAGAUAGCAAGAGGGAUGAGUUGUGAGGUUUUGAAAGAGGACUUAAGUGCAAAAAUUGAGUUAGUGAUGAAUGAGACUGAGAAAGGAACAGACUUGAGAAACAAAGCUAAUGAGGUCAAGGUGAUUAUUAAGAAUGCUGUGAGAAAUGAAACAAAUUUUAAGGGGUCUUCUGUGAAAGCCAUGGAUCAAUUCUUGAAUGCUGCAUUGAUAAUGAGACAGAUGGAAAAGGGAGCAUCAAAGGAUGAGGUUUGAUUUUGCGUGGAAGGAAGUCUCCAUUGCCAUUUCUGUCGAUGAAAAAUAAUGUAAUCUUUUAACGAGACAGUUUUGGGAAAAUUCUUGAAGUAGUGUUAUCUUUUUAUUAACUUUCGAUCAAUAAUAUGAAAUUUGAUUUUAUAUAAAUUAAUCCCAUAACAAAGAGCAUCCUCUGUUUUUUGUGACUACAUCUAUCAGGAUUCAGGAAUUUUGAGUUUAAAGCUUGUUCCUUCCGAGUGGGAUCAGGAAUUUAUAGAGCACAAUUCCUUAGUAUUUAAUGUUUUCAAUAAAUGAAAGUAUGAUUGGGCCGAAAAACCAUCACCCACGGUCCUCAUCAAGCCCAACCCAGACCAUGUCAUUUGGGCUGGUUUGAUAAGGGAAACUCAAUCUAUUAUAAAUUUCAUUAGGCUUUGGGUCGGUCAUUUUCACAAAAUAAUUUCUAAAGUGAUAUAUCGAUAAAUUACUGUUAAAAAAAAAAAAAAAGGUAGAAAUCUGCAUCUCUUAAUUUAUCAAUGGCACCAUCAUCGUCAAUGAACAAGCUUCUGACCUUGGCUAUAACGAUAUUUAUAAGUUUCGGCUAAAUCGGAUUGCCACCAUUAAAUUUUUUAGUUAUUGGUAUCUUAGAUUUUUCUAACAUCAUAAUCUGUUAAAAUAUUGAAUCUAAAAAAAAAAAAAAUUGAACUAACUGUUUUUUUUAAUAGAAAUGCAUUCUGAUUAAAGUAUGUUAAAACGUUAAUAGAAAGAAUAAACAUAACAUUUCAUAUGAAAUUUUAGUUCAAUCACAUGCGUAAAUUUCUAGUUUGUGAAGCAAAAAGGUUAUGAGAGAUUUUUCUAAAUAUGUACAUUGAGAUCUCCUUCCUACCAAUCCUUAAUUAUUUUUUAUUGUUGAAUUAUGUUGUGUUUUGUGCUCACUUUAAAAUAGGAUUCAACUUUAUACCAUUGAACCAAUCAUGUUAAAAUGUUGGAUGAAAUUGAAUUAAAAUUAUUCAUAGCAUUAGAUGGAGAUUGAGAUUUUAUAAACAAAUGUUGGAUGGUGAUUGGAGAAAAGAGAUAUUGCAAAUGGCGACGCUGAUCGGAGAAAACAAAAAUACCCUAAAGUAUAUAAACGCUUGGUUUCGCAAUGAUAUAUAUUGUCUGAUUUAUUGAAAUUUGUUUUAAAGUAUACUCUAAUUUACUGGAUUGCUUGAAAAAAUAAAGUGUAAUGUUAAUCGCAUCUCGUAGAUUUGUAUGCAAAAUAAAUUUUAAUAUAAUAUUUUAAAUUAAUUAAAAUAACAGUAUUUUUCCAUUGCAAUAAUAAAUCGUCUUUAAUUAUUUAUGAAGACAAAAUUUAGGCUAUUUUCAGAUUGAAAGCACAUAUACUCUUUGUCUGCAGGGGAGACUCUCCAUUACUGACAAGAGUGAUAAGCAUUUAGUCUUUAGACUGAGACCAUCUAAAACUGGACUCAACAAUUCUGCAUCGUAUGUAUAUUCCCAAAAGAUUUUUAAAAUUAGUUUUAAAAACGUGGAAGCUUUGGUUGCCCAAUUAAUGCACCCACCUCUGCGUUUCCCCUACGUAUUAGCCUGCGUAAUUUUUAAAUUUUCGGUGAUUAUGGUCUUGAUUGGGAUUACGUUGCUGUAAUUUUUAAGUUAUAACUACUGUGAAAAAAAAAGUAUAAUUAUGAAAUAAAAAUAAAUAAUAUAUAAUAAAUAUAAUUUUUAAAUAAUAAUUUUAUAAAAAUUAUUAAAGAUAUAUUAAUUCAUCACGUAAAUAUAAAAUUAAAUUAAAUUAUCUUUUAAGUUAUAGUAGUUAGUAUUUAUUAAAUAUUUUAAUUUUUAAAUUUUUAAAUUACAGUUAUUUAAUCUCAAUUCUAAAUAGAGCCUAUAUCUAUUUAAAACUUGUUCAGAUUGCUAACUAGUUAUGCUUUAUUUAACAUAGUAGAAUUCGGUAAUUCACUUAUUAUUAAUUUUUUGUUUUAGUCUCUAGACCAUCUUUCACCGAUAAAAACUGUUUUAUUACAUACCAAAACUGUUAAAAUCAAGGACGGAAGCAGCAUGGUGCUACCAGGAUCAGCUGUCCCCACUUAAGUACUUAGCUUUCUAUUUUAUGCUUAAGUCUCACCCUGCAAUCUUUAUUGGUGUGCCCUCUUGAUUUCAAUGUUCAACCAAUUUAUCUUUUAAAAUUUUUUGAACAGACUCAGUAACUUGAAAUUAAAAGCCUAAUAGCCUUAAUUCCAGUAUGUUGCGAAAAAAAUUUCAAAUAGUAUUGAUAAUAAAACUAUUGAGCAGCAUUAUCAAUUCAUGAAAAUAAGUCAUCAACAAUUUAUGAGUGAAAGAUAUAACUUUAUAUUUAUUAUUAUUUUUUAAAAAAAAAUUACCCCCUAUAGAGUAAAUUUCUAGCUUCAUCCAUCGUUAAAGUAACUCAUGUUAUUUCAAUGAACGCCAAAGACACAUAGGUAUAACUAAUUAUUUUAAAUUUUUUUUAUUAAAACUUAGCAGUUUGAGGAAUUUUUAUUAAAUAUGAAAUAAGAAAUGAAAUACCAAAUCCGGAGGAUUUAAUUACAUUAUUUUUUUCCCAAUUGGAAAUAUGUUGGAAAGAAAUACCUUUAAAAUCUGCCAUUAAAAUAAGAAAUAUGUUUAUUAAUAUAAUUUAAAAAAUAAUGUAAUUAACUUGACUAAUAAAUGUUUGUUUUGGUUGGUCAUUUAACCAUAAAGUGGCAACAUGCAAGCAACAGAGUUGAUGACUUUCUGUGCAGUUUGGAGCCCAUUCUAGACACAAAAAAUAUAGAACAAACUUCAUUGCUUUCUACUUCUAUGAAGGGGAAUAAAAAAAUGAGGAUGAUUUGAUGUCAAAAAUCAAAAUGAUCCAAGCAAUGCCGCAAUACGGUGCCGCCAAACAAACCUUUCAUUGUUUUACUCUUAAAAAACAGAAAACAACAAUUUGGAAACAGUACCAAGCAGCCUACUAAAAAGUUAGUGAAUUAUGAUUUAGGAUUGGGGUUUUGUUUGAUGUUGAAUGAAUUAUAUGAUAACAAUGAUGAUAAAGUCAAAAACAGUUUUGUAUAAUUUAAUAUGUAAUAAUUAAUGUGACACGAAAAAAGUAACUAAAAAGUAAUGAUAGUUUUUUUUUUAAUUAUGUGAGACCAUAAUAAUUUUAUAUAAUCAAUCAUCAAAAUUAACAAUAUAUGUCAAGGCUCUAGCAGAAUUAUCAAAAUGCUCAGUUUUUUUUAAAUUUAAUUUUCAGUUUUUAAAUUUAGAAAGUCGAAAGUUGUCUUUCAAAAGAAUUAAAAUUACCAAAAUGACCCCACUCCCCUUCUUAACCACCUAAUCCUCCGCAAUUUCUCCUCAUCCUCUCAUCAAUAGCAAUGGCACAAAGAAAAGAAAACAUAGUGAUGUUCCCAUUCAUGGCACAAGGCCAUAUAAUCCCUUUCCUAGCGUUAGCCCUUCAGUUGGAAAAAACAAACAAAUACACCAUAACUCUGUUGGUGAAUUAUGAGAAUAUGGAGGCAAAGAACAAUGAAAUUUCUUAGGAUUUGAGACGUGUUUACACACUUUCCUUUAAGGUUUUAUUUGCCCUCACCAAUCUUGGUUUGCUAUAGAGUUUUAAUGGCAAAUUACCCCCAAGAUAUAUCAAAUCCUGAAUACAAUCUUUAGCAAAUAAGAUUGUAUUUCCAGAACAAGCAUGAAAUCUUCAAAAUCUGAUUUCUAAUCUUAUUGUAUGUCUUUCUUUUUAUGAAUAAGAUGUUUAUUUGAAAGAAUACAACCAUUAGAAAAUGGUACUUCUUCGAAAAAAACUCUUUUGGUUUUAAAAUGCAUCGAUUUACAAUUGAAAUCUUUUCAAUCUUGCUAACCGUUUUCCAAUUGACAACUUUCUGGAAAUAAACGGUUAGCCGUUUUCUCAAUAAACGGUGAGCCGUUUAUUCUAGGACAUAAAACAUGCUCUCUGGACUUAAACGGUAAGCCGUUUUCACCAUAAACGGUGAGCUGUUUAUUCCAGAACAAAAAACAUGCUCUCUGGACUUAAACGGUUAGUCGUUUUCUCAAUAAACGGCAACCCGUUUUCGUCCAGAAUAUCAAACCAAACAAAUUUGAAAGAUGUUACAAUCUCUCUUACAAACUCUUGUUAACACCCCUUUAAACCUCAAGAGACUCAAAUCAUCUCUCCCACAAAAUUCCUCCAUUCACCUUCUUGAAAUUCCUUUCAACAGCAUAGAGCAUGACCUCCCUCCUUGUACUGAAAACACAGACUCUAUUCCACAUCAUCUCUUUCCAAGAUUCCUUCAAGCAUCAGCAUCGCUCGAACCCCACUUCAAGAAACUAAUCUCUGAACUUGUCAAUGAACAAAAUGGCCAAAAACCACUUUGUAUCAUCACUGAUUCGUUCCUAGGUUGGUGUAAAGAGACAGCACAAGAGUACGGUAUUUUUCAUGCUAUAUUCAUAGGAGGUGGUGGCUUUGGCUUUGCUUGUUUCUACUCUUUGUGGGUAAACUUGCCUCAUCGGAAAACGGAUGCCGAUAAAUUUCUGUUGCCGGAUUUUCCUGAAGCUUCAACACUUCAUGUAACUCAGAUGUCACUUUCCUUACGUGCUGCCGAUAGUCUCUUGAAAGACCUUUUGUUAAAGGAUCUGCUAGGUUCUUAUUAGUCCUAACAUAAACAAUAUUAAUAACACCAUCUGCUAUUAAUUGUUUCACAUAUUCAUGUCUUAAGCUAAUAUGUCUAGACUUUCCAUUAUACACUUUAUUAUAAGCUCUAGACAAUGUAGCUUCACUGUCGCAGUACAAAGAAAUAGAUGGCAUCGGUUGUGGCCACAACAUUAUAUCAAACAACAAAUUUCUCAGCCAUUCUGCUUCUUUGCCUGCAGAUGCAAGUGCUAUAAACUCACUUUCCAUUGUUGAAUGAGUUAUGCACGUUUGUUUCUUUGAAGCCCAAGAAACCGCUCCUCCAGCAAUUGUAAAAAUCCAACCAGAAGUGGAUUUAUUAUCUCUUGUAUUGGUUACCCAACUAGCAUCUGAAUAUCCUUCCAGUACUUCAGGAUAAUCAUUAUAAAACAAACCCAAAUUAAUGGUCCUUUUAAGAUAAUCAAGUAUUCUACCAAUUGCUUUUCAGUGUUCAACACUAGGGUUACUCGUGAAUCUUGACAUUUUGCAAACUGCAAAUGCUAUAUCAGGCCUCUUACAAUGCAUAGCAUACAUCAAGCUACCAAUUGCACUAGCAUAUUCUAGUUGAGCUACUAUUCGGCCUGAAUUCUCUAGUAAUUUAAUACUAGAAUCAUAUGGGGUAUUAGCUUCUUUAAAUUUCAAAUAAUUGAAUUUAAGAAGCACUUUCUCUAUAUAAUGAGAUUGACACAACGAGUAACCCCCACUAUGUUUAUUCACUUUGAUACCUAAGAUAGUAUCUACUUCACCAAGAUCUUUCAUCUUAAAUUGUGAAGUUAAAUACUUCUUUGUAUCAUCUACUCCUUGCAUAUUUGUUCCAAAGAUAAGCAAGUCAUCAACAUACAAGCAUAUAAUCACACCAAAAUCAUUCGUAUAUUUAAAAUAUACACAUUUAUCAGCAUUAUUAUGCUUAAAACCAUGUGAUAAAAUUACCGAAUCAAACUUCUCAUGCCAUUGUUUUGGUGCUUGCUUUAAGCCAUAAAGAGAUUUGAUUAACUUGCAUACCUUUUUUUCAUUUCCAGGCAAAACAAAUCCCUCAGGUUAUUCCAUAUAGAUUUCUUCAUCAAGAUCACCAUUAAAAAAAGCUGUUUUAACAUCCAUUUGAUGCACAUACAAAUUGUUCAAUGAAGCAAUUGCAAAUAGCACUCUUAUAGAAGUUAACCUAGCUACCGGAGCAUAUGUAUCGAAAUAGUCAAUACCAUUUCUUUGCUUAAACCCUUUGGCUACUAAUCUAGCCUUAAAAGUUUGCAAAGAACCAUCAUUAUUGUACUUUCUUCUAAAUACCCAUUUGCUGCUAAUUGGUUGAGAUCCUGGAGGAAGAUCAACCAAGACCCAUGUUUGAUUCGACAUUAUCGAAUCCAUUUCAUCAUUUACCGCCUCUCUCCAAAAAGAAGCGUCUCUAGAAGACAUAGCCUCGCUAAAUGUCUUUGGAUCUUUUUCAAUAUUUAACAACAAUGGUACUUUGUUAAGUACAUUCUUCUGCUAUACGGCCAAGGCGGAUGUACGGUACAGCAGUAUAAUGCCUGUUGUUUCAUACCUAUUUUUUUGUUUUUUUUGUGAUCUAACCAUUGGAUCAACCAAGAGUUGCAAAGGCUAUUCCAAUCGUUAGAAUGUUAUUAUUUAGUUAUUAACGAUGUGGUCUCUUAUGUUUACUAAAAGAAUAAGAAAAUAUUAAAUUAUAAAAUUUUGACACAUUGGUCCGUUAAAUAUUUUAUUAUCAAAGGUAAUUUAGUAAACGAACAUAUUUAUAUAUUAAAAAUAUGGAUGGAUUAUUUUAACUUGCUAAAAUACUCUCCACUUCCAUUUACUUAAAAUACCAAUUAUAUUUUCAUAAUACUAUUUUGUAUUUAGUGUAACACAAAAUUAGAUAAGGUUUUAUAUAAAUUUUGACAAUAUUAAAAUGGAAAAUAAAUAAAUAUUAAAUAAAUGCUUGGAUAGUCAUUUAAAUUCAUUAUAGAGUUUAUAAAUAAUAUUUUCAAAAUAAUAAAAUUCUAUAUGUAAAUUUGAGAUUAUGUAAAAUUACUUAUACUUUAUCUCACGUAUGAAGCCGAUCAAUUAUUUAUUUAAUAUGAAAAAAAGUAAAUUAUAUAAUAUUUAUUCCAUCACUUAAAUUUAGAAUUAUAAAGAAUGAAACUUAAAUUUAAAAUUGAUUGAGAAGGAGAUAGAGAGAAUAAUUUUUUUAGAAUUUUAAAAUUAUUAUAUUUUAAUUGGGUUUAUUACAUAAAAUUAUUAAAACUUAUAGUUUUUAUUAUUUAUAGAAAAAAAUAGGGAUUGUUGAAGAAAAUGCCAAAUAAACUUUUUAGAAUUUUGAAAUUAUUAUAUUUUAAUUGGGACUUAUUGUAUAAAAUUUUUAAAACUUAUAAUUUUUAUUAUUUAUAAAAAACUACAGGGACUACUAAAAAAAUACCAAAAUGGUAUUUAGUACAACGGGAGUAAGAUAGUUUUGCCCAAUAUAAUAAUAGAGCUUUAUUAGGUCAUGUCCAAUAAAGCAAAAUCAAAAGAAGCUGCUUGUGCACGGCAUUAGCUCUAUUUCUAGAAGCUGACGAAAGGCAAAGUUUGUUUUGGUAUAGUCUUGGUCUGGUCGUUUGUUUUAUUUUAUUUUAUCUUAAUUAUUAUAUUAUAAUCUAUUGAUUUUAAAAUCAGUAGCCUGCUCUUAUCCAUUGGAUUUGUCAAGCAAAACUCAAAAAUUUACACCAAAUACAACCUAUAACUAUUCCACGCUUAUAUUAAUUUAUACGAGAGGAUUAGUCUUCAUGAUUUGUCUCAAUCAUGGUCCUGUUGAAGAAAACAAAGUUUAAAUAUAAAUUUCUUCUUUGUAUGAUAAGAAAAAUUUCUUAUCAUUACAAACAUGAAUUGUUGCACCCGAAUCGAGCCACCAAUCAUAGGACUUAGUUUCAGCCAUAUUGGUUUCAGUAAUCAUGCCAAUUUGUAUUUCAGAAACCAUAGCACAAAUCUGUUCAGAUUUGUUUUCAAUAACAUUAGCUUUAUGGGAAUUCACUUCUUCCUUUUUCUUCUUGAAUCUGCAAUCACUUUGGCGAUGGCCUUUCUUACCACAAAAGAAACAAUUUCCAGAAAACUUUUGUGUGCUGGACUUCUUGAAUUUCUUGUCAUUCUUGACUUUAAAAUUCUUUGAGAAUUUACUAGCUUCAACAACAUUAACUUUAGUAUAAUCAUGCUUAUCCUUGGAUUCACGAGACCUAGUCUCUUCUUCAAUUACCAAGUGUUUUUGCAAUUCUUCUAAAGUUAUGUUCUCUUUACUAUGAAGGAGUUUCUUUCUAUAAUCAUUCCAACUUUGAGGCAAUUUAGCAAUAAUAGCCCCAACUUGAAAUGAUUCAGAAAUUUCAACUUUUAACUCUCGAAGCUUAGCAACAAUAAUUUGUAACUCAUGUAUUUGAUCAAGAAUGGAUUUUGUGUCUACCAUAAUAAAUUCAAAAUAUUUAGAUACAAGGAAUUUGUCAGUACCUUCUUUCUCCGUUUUGUAUUUGUAUUCAAGAGCAUUCCAAAUUUCCACCGGAGAAGUCAUAGAAUUGUAGAGAUCAUAUAAUCUGUCAGAAAGCGUAUUGAGUAUGUGACCCCGGCAUAUCAAUUCAUCAUCUUCACGACGUUUCCUUGCAGCCUUAACAACUUCGGUAUCAUCUUCUCUUGGUUCUGGAAAUGGUUCCAAUUUCGGAUCAAGAACAUAUGCCACUUUAAGAACAGUAAGGAGAAAGAACAAUUUUCCCUUCCAACGAGUGAAAUUAGUUCCAUCAAAACGAUCGAGAUGGACACUAGGAUUCAGAAAUGAUGUCAAACUCUUCUCAAAAUGCAUCGAUUUACAAUUGAAAUCUUUUCAAUCUUGCUAACCGUUUUCCAAUUGACAACUUUCUGGAAAUAAACGGUUAGCCGUUUUCUCAAUAAACGGUGAGCCGUUUAUUCUAGGACAUAAAACAUGCUCUCUGGACUUAAACGGUAAGCCGUUUUCACCAUAAACGGUGAGCUGUUUAUUCCAGAACAAAAAACAUGCUCUCUGGACUUAAACGGUUAGUCGUUUUCUCAAUAAACGGCAACCCGUUUUCGUCCAGAAUAUCAAACCAAACAAAUUUGAAAGAUGUUACAAUCUCUCUUACAAACUCUUGUUAACACCCCUUUAAACCUCAAGAGACUCAAAUCAUCUCUCCCACAAAAUUCCUCCAUUCACCUUCUUGAAAUUCCUUUCAACAGCAUAGAGCAUGACCUCCCUCCUUGUACUGAAAACACAGACUCUAUUCCACAUCAUCUCUUUCCAAGAUUCCUUCAAGCAUCAGCAUCGCUCGAACCCCACUUCAAGAAACUAAUCUCUGAACUUGUCAAUGAACAAAAUGGCCAAAAACCACUUUGUAUCAUCACUGAUACGUUCUUAGGCUGGUGUAAAGAGACAGCACAAGAGUAUGGUAUUUUUCAUGCUAUAUUCAUAGGAGGUGGUGGCUUUGGCUUUGCUUGUUUCUACUCUUUGUGGGUAAACUUGCCUCAUCGGAAAACGGAUGCCGAUAAAUUUCUGUUGCCGGAUUUUCCUGAAGCUUCAACACUUCAUGUAACUCAGAUGUCACUUUCCUUACGUGCUGCCGAUGGAAGCGAUUCUCUUUCAGUGUUGUCUAAGGAGCUGUUUCUUCAAUGGAAGGAUGCUGACGGAAUUUUGGUUAACACGGUCGAAGAACUUGACAAGAUUGGACUGAUGUAUUUCAAGAGAAAAUUUGGCCGGCCGGUUUGGCCAAUAGGACCUGUUCUUUUGUCCACGGAAAGCAGAGGUGGGGCCGGAAAAGAGUACGGAAUCUCUGCAGAGUUGUGUAAAAAAUGGCUUGAUACAAAGCCGUACAGUUCAGUUCUGUAUGUGUCAUUUGGUUCGCAAAACACAAUAGCCGC
This 11319-nucleotide long non-coding RNA is filed under the name Citrus sinensis (sweet orange). RNAcentral's name for it is "long non-coding RNA (CSIN_LNC004850)". The record is from RNAcentral. Lineage: Eukaryota; Viridiplantae; Streptophyta; Magnoliopsida; Sapindales; Rutaceae.